AGUUAAGUAAUUGCACAAGUAACAUAAUUAUGUUAUGAAUUAGUAAAGUAUUAUUUUUUUUUACAUUUGAUCUAUGAUGACAAUCUCACGGACAUAGCUUUGGUUGUUAUAUUUGGAGUUGACUUGUCGUGCUUCUUCUUCUACAAAUAGUACCACUCCCAAUACAUCUGUAUAAUUUGAAUAAAUUUUCAGAUCAAUAAGCUAUCUAAAAAUUGGGAAAAGUUAGGUGCAUAAAUAUGUAGAUAGUAAUAUAAUUAGGGCUGGCAAAAGCUGACACGACACGAAAACCCGACCCGAACCCGACCUGAAAAUAGCGUGUUUAGGUUGAGAUUUUUGACCCGAAAACUUAAAUGGGUCGACACGAACCCAACCUGAUAAUUAAAUGGGUUAGGUUAAGGUUGAAAUUUUCAACCCGAAAAUGACCCAUCUAACCCGGAAAAAAAAAUAAAAAAAUAAAAAACCCGUAUAAGUUAAAUAGCUUUGAUCCCUUCAAAAAAAAAAAAAGUUAAAUAGCUUUGAUGGCCCAAGCCCAAAUAAAGGUUUUAUAAAAUCAAAAUCUAAACCCUAAAAUCCUACACGUUCUUAACUCUCAGCCGUCACUCUUACUUUUCCUCUCAUGUUUCAUUUUUUCUUUCUCUCUCCAGAUCUAGAGAAUUCAAACAACUUGAGAGUUGAGACGUUGAGCCAUUGUUCUAUGUGAGUCGCACUUCUCCUUCACCAUUCAAGUGUUCAACCUAUAUCAAUCGAAAAGAUUUCUUCCGGUGAGGAGGAGAUUAAUUUGAACCGUUGAUGAAAGUCCUAUUAUUGCAUGAUGCAUCCUUUAAUAUUGUUUGAGAACUAGAAUACAAAUUUGUGUUUUAAAAUCCUUAGUAUAUUUGUAAUUCGUUAAGUAGAACUUCAUUUGGCUUGUAAUUCGAUAAGUAGGACUUUAAUUUGCUCGUAAUUCAUCAAGUAGGACAUCAAUUGGCUUGUAAUUCGUUAAGUAGGAUUGUUACUUUACUUUGGUAGACAAUUUUAUUUUGGUUGGGGUUGAAGGCUUGAAGCAUUGAAAA
This is a long non-coding RNA of Chenopodium quinoa (quinoa), 1052 nucleotides long. RefSeq lists it as uncharacterized. The transcript has 2 exons. Lineage: Eukaryota; Viridiplantae; Streptophyta; Magnoliopsida; Caryophyllales; Amaranthaceae. The record is from RefSeq and is a predicted model, not a curated record.